RNAcentral lists this unclassified non-coding RNA (258 nucleotides) under uncultured fungus. Its description in RNAcentral is "partial contains 5.8S ribosomal RNA, internal transcribed spacer 2, and large subunit ribosomal RNA". RNAcentral also lists the same sequence under 1 other name. Lineage: Eukaryota; Fungi. The record is from RNAcentral.
AACGCACAUUGCGCCCAUUAGUAUUCUAGUGGGCAUGCCUGUUCGAGCGUCAUUUCAACCCUUAAGCCUAGCUUAGUGUUGGGAGCCUACUACUUUUACUAGCUGUAGCUCCUGAAAUCCAACGGCGGAUCUGCAAUAUCCUCUGAGCGUAGUAAUUUUUUUCUCGCUUUUGACUGGAGUUGCAGCGUCUUUAGCCGCUAAACCCCCCAAUUUUUAAUGGUUGACCUCGGAUCAGGUAGGAAUACCCGCUGAACUUAA